GUUGAAAAAUUGAGUAUUUCUUUUAAUUACAUGUAAAUUUAUGUAUGAAAUUAAAAUUUAUUUUAAAAAUAUUAAUGAUUUUUAUUUGCAGUAAAUAAACUUAAAUUCUUAAAGAAAUUUAGAUUUAGGGAUAGAUAAAAUAUUAACAAAAUUUGUGCCAGCAGUUGCGGUUAUACAAAUAAUGUAAUUUAAUUUUUUUAGUAAAAGUUAAUUUUUAUUAAAUUUUUAUUUUAAUAUAAUAUUUAUUAGGUGAAAUUUUAAAUUUUAUAUAAAAUUAUAAAUUAUUAAAUGAGGCUUAGAAAUUUAUUUUUAAACUAGGAUUAGAUACCCUAUUAUUGUAAAUAUAAAUUUAAAAUACUAAAUUAGUAUUAGUUAUUUUCUUGAAAAUUAAAAAAUUUGGCGGUAUUUUAGUCUUUUCAGAGGAACCUGUCCUGUAAUUGAUAGUCCACGAUUAUAUAUACUUUAGUUUUAAGUUUACAUAUCGUUGUAGGUUGAAUAUUUUAAUAGAAUUUAAAUGUUCAGAAUUUUUUAAUAAAAAAUAAAUCAGAUCAAGGUGUAGCUUAUAUUUAAGAAGUGGUGGGUUACAUUGAAGUUAUUUUAGGAUAAUUUUUUAUAAAAAGAUUUGAAUAUGGAUUUGAUAGUAAUUUAAUAUAUUUAUUUUAAAUGAUUAUUAGCUCUAAAGUAUGUACAUAUCGCCCGUCGCUUUCAUUUUAAAAUGAAAUAAGUCGUAACAAAGUAGGCGUACUGGAAAGUGUGCCUAGAAAGAC
RNAcentral lists this non-coding RNA (767 nucleotides) under Bruchinae sp. GENSP01. Lineage: Eukaryota; Metazoa; Arthropoda; Insecta; Coleoptera; Chrysomelidae. The record is from RNAcentral.